RNAcentral lists this transfer RNA (54 nucleotides) under Phrynocephalus guttatus melanurus. Its description in RNAcentral is "partial tRNA-Tyr". The record is from RNAcentral. Lineage: Eukaryota; Metazoa; Chordata; Lepidosauria; Squamata; Agamidae.
AAUUGAGGCGGUGGUUUGUAAUUCCAUUUAUGGGGUGGUAAACUCCUCUUAUCA